Sceloporus undulatus (fence lizard) is the source of this 2772-nucleotide long non-coding RNA. RefSeq lists it as uncharacterized. The record is from RefSeq and is a predicted model, not a curated record. The transcript is spliced from 3 exons. Lineage: Eukaryota; Metazoa; Chordata; Lepidosauria; Squamata; Phrynosomatidae.
GACAGAGAGGCGGGGUAUAAAUACAAUGCAUCAUCAUCAUCAUCAUCAUCAUCAUCAUCAUCAUCAUCAUCAUCAUCAUCCUGGGCCUGGAUUGGAGAGUCCUUCAAACAAGAGUACUUCUAAUGGCCCUUCAGAUUUUUUGAAAACCCUGCUGUUACUGAAAUUAUACUUAAGAGAUGGUUGCUUGGACAUGUUGUGGUGUUUGACUACUUCAUAGCAGAAAGCCUGAGAAUUUGCUUGAGAGCCAAUCAUAUGUCUUUUCACAUCACACUUUCUCUCCAAGAAGGCCACUGAGUCCAUCUAGAGUACCUGCAACCAACAGUGAAUACACCUGUACAGAAAUUGCAAAGUAUUUAUUACAUAGUUAUAAAACUACAACCCACCACACAAUGUAUUAUAAAACAAAAUAUUCCUGUAUGGGAUGUUUAAAAUAUUUUGUGAUCAUGCCAGAUUAUACAUUGUACUGAAAGCAAAACAUGAAAUUACCUGGGGCCCUUAACUGUAAUGAAUAACUUAUAAUACAGAAAGAACAGAACCAACCAAAACUUGAAUAAAUGAAUUGGCUAUUUUGCAGUGAUCCCUGCUUGAAGCUCAGGGAAUGGGAGUAAAUGUAAAAACAUGGGAAAACUCAUGGUGAGUCAGACUAAAGCCCUCUUUGGUCCAACAUUCUGUUCAUUAGUGGCCAGUCAGUAGAAGCAUAUCAGUAGGAUACUAAUGCAGCUGUGGUUUCCAUCUUGCAUCCCAUAGCAAUUGAUAUACCAAGCCAGACUGCCUCUGAAACUGAGCAAGGAAGGAAGGAAGAAGGAAGGAAGGAAGAUAUGAAUUUCCCCUACAGAUGUCACACACCUGUACUCCAAAACCAAACUACUUUUAGCAACUCUUAUUUAGGAUUCUCACCCUUGCUGAAGAGAAAAGGAAAUUCAGUGGUUUGGCAGGAAAAGUAAAUCCUUUAGGCUAGGAUUACAUAUAGGAACAGCACAGAUUGUAUCAUUUUCAGUUGAAAAGAAGGGAGUGGCAAAUUGUUUUUCCUGGAUCAGAGUGAAAGAAGGAAAGGCGUGGGUGGUAGAAAUAUAAAACUACUUUUUUUUUUUUUUGCAUUAGUUAAGGUUAAUACAGAAGCUCUGCUCCUUGUUACUGAACUAAAUUCAAUUAUUCAGUGUUGGAAAAAUUGCAGUGUUUUCUCUCAGUAGUCAAUCAAAAGAAAAGAUGAGCAAUUAGCCACCAAGCAAGCAAUUUGAUAAACUGAUCUGAGAUAUCAGCAACGUCCUCAAAGAAAAAUCAUUUUUACGUUUAACAAAAAUUGUUCAGAAACCUUAUGUUUUGUUAAAUUGCAACACUAAGCAAACAAACCAUUACCCAUCUCUAUUAAGGGAAAUUUGUUUAUGCAAGCAGAAAUUCAGAUAAAUUCUACUCACAGGGCUGCCAUAUUCUAGUUUUCUACCAAUUGAGGUAGCAACAUUUUCAUAUUUGCAUUUCAUAUUGAGCAUAUAAGUAUUUCCCACUCAUAUGAAAAUUAUGGAUAAUGAAAGAGAUGAAUAGUGCUCACUACAAUAUUACAAUACCCCCCAAAAUCAGAUUCACUCCUUUCAAAUGAAAUAUGAAACAGAAGGUUGCAGGCAGGUUUAUGUUCCUCCCCUCCAUAUAAUGCAGAGGAACACAAGCUUUGUCCCAAGGUGUUUUGCAAACUUGAUUGCCCCUUUCCUUCAUCAUUUGUAUACAGGAAAAGAAAUCCCUCCCAAACAUUUGAAUGAAGUUAUUUACUAUAAGAGCUGUUUGACAGUGGAAUAGACUGCCUUAGAGGAUGGUCUCUCUUUCUUUGGAAGUUUUUAAAUAGAAAUUGGAUGGAGUGCUUUAGUUGUAUUCUUGUUUGGCAGAAGGUUGGACUAGGUAGCCAUUGUGGCUCCUUCCAACCCUAAGAUUCUACAACUCUGUGAUGAUUUUGACCACCUUUUCUCCUCACAGGAUGAAGGUAUUUCUCAGGGAUAACUUUUUCAGGAAGAGGGUUUCUCUUGCUGAAAAUUACAUUACGUAAUCCGUUACUAACUGUAUGCUGGUGGUAGGCAGGGAUGAAUGUUGUGGUUGAUAAAAGGAGACCAAAAGUAGGAGGAACAAAACCUUUUUCUCUCUUUCCGACAUCUCUGUCUCUCCCCUUUCCUUUCCCUCAUUCCCUGGUGUCUACUAGGGGAGGGCUUGAUUCUGCUUGUCAGACAUCUGUUUUGAAUUUGUCAGAGGUCCACACUCAGGGUGAUGUAGUGAUUUGAGCACUGAACUAGGACUUUGAAGACCAGGGUUCAAAUCCUCAGCUACAUAAACCCACUGGGCAAUCUUGGGCAAGUCACACUCUCUCAGCCUGAGAGGAUGGCAAUGACAACCCCUUCUGAAGAAGUCGAAGGCUUUCAUGGCCGGCAUUCAUAGUUUUUUUGUGGGGUUUUUGGGCUAUGUGUAGUUUUAUGUUUCUACCACCCACGCCUUUUCUUCUUUUACUCUCAUCCAGGAGAAACAAUUUGCCACUCCCUUCUUUUCUAGAAACUCUGCUAGAACAUGGCCACAUAGCCCAAAAAACUCACAAAAAAACCUUCUGAAAAAACUUGCCAAGAAAACCCCAUGACCCUUAGAGUCACCAUAAGUCAGAAAUGAUUUGAAGGAACACAACAACAACCAAGGUCAUGUAAUGUAAUUUAACUCUCUCCAUAUUUUUAAGGCAGUUUUCUAACUCAUUUGAGACACAGCAAAAAUAAUCUUCAAAAAUAAAGGCUUUUGGUGCUUGCACUA